RNAcentral lists this ribosomal RNA (500 nucleotides) under uncultured bacterium. RNAcentral's name for it is "partial 16S ribosomal RNA". It matches the Rfam family "Bacterial small subunit ribosomal RNA", at positions 30 to 523 of the family's 1533-position model. The record is from RNAcentral.
AUUGAACGCUGGCGGAAUGCUUUACACAUGCAAGUCGGACGGCAGCACGGGGGCAACCCUGGUGGCGAGUGGCGAACGGGUGAGUAAUACAUCGGAACGUGCCCAGUCGUGGGGGAUAACGUAGCGAAAGUUACGCUAAUACCGCAUACGAUCUACGGAUGAAAGCGGGGGACCGUAAGGCCUCGCGCGAUUGGAGCGGCCGAUGUCAGAUUAGGUAGUUGGUGAGGUAAAGGUUCACCAAGCCGACGAACUGUAGCUGGUCUGAGAGGACGACCAGCCACACUGGGACUGAGACACGGCCCAGACUCCUACGGGAGGCAGCAGUGGGGAGUUUUGGACAAUGGGCGCAAGCCUGAUCCAGCCAUUCCGCGUGCAGGACGAAGGCCUUCGGGUUGUAAACUGCUUUUGUACGGAACGAAAAGGCUCUGGUUAAUACCUGGGGCUCAUGACGGUACCGUAAGAAUAAGCACCGGCUAACUACGUGCCAGCAGCCGCCGUAA